CCUACGGGGGGCUGCAGUGGGGAAUAUUGCACAAUGGGCGCAAGCCUGAUGCAGCCAUGCCGCGUGUGUGAAGAAGGCCUUCGGGUUGUAAAGCACUUUCAGCGGGGAGGAAGGCGGUGAGGUUAAUAACCUCAUCGAUUGACGUUACCCGCCGAAGAAGCACCGGCUAACUCCGUGCCAGCAGCCGCGGUAAUACGGAGGGUGCAAGCGUUAAUCGGAAUUACUGGGCGUAAAGCGCACGCAGGCGGUCUGUCAAGUCGGAUGUGAAAUCCCCGGGCUCAACCUGGGAACUGCAUUCGAAACUGGCAGGCUAGAGUCUUGUAGAGGGGGGUAGAAUUCCAGGUGUAGCGGUGAAAUGCGUAGAGAUCUGGAGGAAUACCGGUGGCGAAGGCGGCCCCCUGGACAAAGACUGACGCUCAGGUGCGAAAGCGUGGGGAGCAAACAGGAUUAGAUACCCCGGUAGUC
This 465-nucleotide ribosomal RNA is filed under the name uncultured Klebsiella sp. Its description in RNAcentral is "bacterial SSU rRNA". It matches the Rfam family "Bacterial small subunit ribosomal RNA", at positions 338 to 795 of the family's 1533-position model. Lineage: Bacteria; Pseudomonadati; Pseudomonadota; Gammaproteobacteria; Enterobacterales; Enterobacteriaceae. The record is from RNAcentral.